This 1346-nucleotide ribosomal RNA is filed under the name uncultured bacterium. RNAcentral's name for it is "partial 16S ribosomal RNA". It matches the Rfam family "Bacterial small subunit ribosomal RNA", at positions 28 to 1381 of the family's 1533-position model. The record is from RNAcentral.
GACGAACGCUGGCGACGUGCUUAACACAUGCAAGUCGAACGGAAAGGCCCUGCUUUUGUGGGGUGCUCGAGUGGCGAACGGGUGAGUAACACGUGAGUAACCUGCCCUUGACUUUGGGAUAACUUCAGGAAACUGGGGCUAAUACCGGAUAGGAGCUCCUGCUGCAUGGUGGGGGUUGGAAAGUUUCGGCGGUUGGGGAUGGACUCGCGGCUUAUCAGCUUGUUGGUGGGGUAGUGGCUUACCAAGGCUUUGACGGGUAGCCGGCCUGAGAGGGUGACCGGCCACAUUGGGACUGAGAUACGGCCCAGACUCCUACGGGAGGCAGCAGUGGGGAAUAUUGCACAAUGGGCGGAAGCCUGAUGCAGCAACGCCGCGUGCGGGAUGACGGCCUUCGGGUUGUAAACCGCUUUCGCCUGUGACGAAGCGUGAGUGACGGUAAUGGGUAAAGAAGCACCGGCUAACUACGUGCCAGCAGCCGCGGUGAUACGUAGGGUGCGAGCGUUGUCCGGAUUUAUUGGGCGUAAAGGGCUCGUAGGUGGUUGAUCGCGUCGGAAGUGUAGUCUUGGGGCUUAACCCUGAGCGUGCUUUCGAUACGGGUUGACUUGAGGAAGGUAGGGGAGAAUGGAAUUCCUGGUGGAGCGGUGGAAUGCGCAGAUAUCAGGAGGAACACCAGUGGCGAAGGCGGUUCUCUGGGCCUUUCCUGACGCUGAGGAGCGAAAGCGUGGGGAGCGAACAGGCUUAGAUACCCUGGUAGUCCACGCUGUAAACGGUGGGUACUAGGUGUGGGGUCCAUUCCACGGGUUCCGUGCCGUAGCUAACGCUUUAAGUACCCCGCCUGGGGAGUACGGCCGCAAGGCUAAAACUCAAAGGAAUUGACGGGGCCCCGCACAAGCGGCGGAGCAUGCGGAUUAAUUCGAUGCAACGCGUAGAACCUUACCUGGGUUUGACAUGGAUCGGGAGUGCUCAGAGAUGGGUGUGCCUCUUUUGGGGUCGGUUCACAGGUGGUGCAUGGCUGUCGUCAGCUCGUGUCGUGAGAUGUUGGGUUAAGUCCCGCAACGAGCGCAACCCUUGUUCACUGUUGCCAGCACGUUAUGGUGGGGACUCAGUGGAGACCGCCGGGGUCAACUCGGAGGAAGGUGGGGAUGACGUCAAGUCAUCAUGCCCCUUAUGUCCAGGGCUUCACGCAUGCUACAAUGGCUGGUACAGAGAGUGGCGAGCCUGUGAGGGUGAGCGAAUCUCGGAAAGCCGGUCUCAGUUCGGAUUGGGGUCUGCAACUCGACCUCAUGAAGUCGGAGUCGCUAGUAAUCGCAGAUCAGCAACGCUGCGGUGAAUACGUUCCCGGGGCU